GAUGAAGAACGUAGCGAAAUGCGAUACUUGGUGUGAAUUGCAGAAUCCCGUGAACCAUCGAGUCUUUGAACGCAAGUUGCGCCCGAAGCCACUAGGCCGAGGGCACGCCUGCCUGGGCGUCACACGUCGUUGCCCCCCCAUCUACUCCUUCGGGAUUGCGGGGGGCGGAUGAUGGCCUCCCGUGCGCCUAGCCGCGCGGUUGGCAUAAAUACCAAGUCCUCGGCGACGCACGCCACGACAAUCGGUGGUUGCGAAACCUCGGUUGCCCGUCGUGUGCGUUCGUCGCGCAUCGAGGGCUCGAAAAAAUGCUCGGCUCCGGCUGGGCUUUCAACGCGACCCCAGGUCAGGCGGGGUUACCCGCUGAAUUUAAGCAUAUCAAUAAGCGGAGGA
RNAcentral lists this unclassified non-coding RNA (390 nucleotides) under soil metagenome. RNAcentral describes it as "partial contains 5.8S ribosomal RNA, internal transcribed spacer 2, and large subunit ribosomal RNA". The stretch from base 1 to 122 matches the Rfam family "5.8S ribosomal RNA", at positions 35 to 154 of the family's 154-position model. The record is from RNAcentral.